CAGCACCUCAAGUGGUCAGGAUGAUUAUUGGGCCUAAAGCAUCCGUAGCCGGCGCUGUAAGUUUUCGGUUAAAUCUGUACGCUCAACGUACAGGCUGCCGGGAAUACUGCAGAGCUAGGGAGUGGGAGAGGUAGACGGUACUCGGUAGGAAGGGGUAAAAUCCUUUGAUCUAUUGAUGACCACCUGUGGCGAAGGCGGUCUACCAGAACACGUCCGACGGUGAGGGAUGAAAGCUGGGGGAGCAAACCGGAUUAGAUACCCCAGUAGUCC
RNAcentral lists this ribosomal RNA (270 nucleotides) under uncultured archaeon. RNAcentral describes it as "partial 16S ribosomal RNA". It matches the Rfam family "Archaeal small subunit ribosomal RNA", at positions 477 to 747 of the family's 1478-position model. The record is from RNAcentral.